RNAcentral lists this ribosomal RNA (253 nucleotides) under uncultured bacterium. RNAcentral's name for it is "partial 16S ribosomal RNA". It matches the Rfam family "Bacterial small subunit ribosomal RNA", at positions 524 to 776 of the family's 1533-position model. The record is from RNAcentral.
UACGGGGGGGGCAAGCGUUGUUCGGAAUUACUGGGCGUAAAGGGUUCGUAGGUGGCUUGCUAAGUCAGACGUGAAAUCCCUCAGCUUAACUGGGGAACUGCGUCUGAUACUGGCGAGCUUGAGUGCAGGAGAGGAACGCAGAAUUCCAGGUGUAGCGGUGAAAUGCGUAGAUAUCUGGAGGAAUACCGGUGGCGAAGGCGGCAUCCUGGACCGGCAUUGACGCUGAGGAGCGAAAGCCAGGGGAGCAAACGGG